UACCAGCACCCCGAGUGGUCGGGACGAUUAUUGGGCCUAAAGCAUCCGUAGCCGGUUCUACAAGUCUUCCGUUAAAUCCACCUGCUUAACAGAUGGGCUGCGGAGGAUACUAUAGAGCUAGGAGGCGGGAGAGGCAAGCGGUACUUAGUGGGUAGGGGUAAAAUCCGUUGAUCCAUUGAAGACCACCAGUGGCGAAGGCGGCUUGCCAGAAUGCACUCGACGGUGAGGGAUGAAAGCUGGGGGAGCAAACCGG
Molecule: ribosomal RNA, 253 nt
Filed under: uncultured bacterium
Lineage: Bacteria
Description: partial 16S ribosomal RNA
Rfam family: Archaeal small subunit ribosomal RNA
Source: RNAcentral